This 477-nucleotide ribosomal RNA is filed under the name uncultured bacterium. RNAcentral describes it as "bacterial SSU rRNA". It matches the Rfam family "Bacterial small subunit ribosomal RNA", at positions 777 to 1253 of the family's 1533-position model. The record is from RNAcentral.
AUUAGAUACCCUGGUAGUCCACGCAGUAAACGAUGAAUACUAAUUGUCCGGGACGAAUGAGUCCUGGGUGAUACAGCGAAAGCGUUAAGUAUUCCACCUGGGGAGUACGCCGGCAACGGUGAAACUCAAAGGAAUUGACGGGGGCCCGCACAAGCGGAGGAACAUGUGGUUUAAUUCGAUGAUACGCGAGGAACCUUACCCGGGCUCAAACGGCACAGGAAUACUUUUGAAAGGAGGUAGCCCUACGGCGUCUGUGCCGAGGUGCUGCAUGGUUGUCGUCAGCUCGUGCCGUGAGGUGUCGGCUUAAGUGCCAUAACGAGCGCAACCCCCACCGUCAGUUGCCAGCAGGUAAGGCUGGGGACUCUGACGGGACUGCCGGCGCAAGCGGUGAGGAAGGCGGGGAUGACGUCAAAUCAGCACGGCCCUUACGUCCGGUGCGACACACGUGUUACAAUGGCAGGUACAGAGAGAAGCCAG